This is a long non-coding RNA of Mesocricetus auratus (golden hamster), 1163 nucleotides long. RefSeq lists it as uncharacterized. The transcript has 3 exons. NCBI's taxonomy places the organism in Eukaryota, Metazoa, Chordata, Mammalia, Rodentia, Cricetidae. The record is from RefSeq and is a predicted model, not a curated record.
GUCCCUUUAUUUCUAAAUUAUUAGAAGUGAAGCCUUUGAGUUUAGUUUACCCCUUUCAUGGUAUAGACUGUGCCCCAGGAGAGGUCCAGGACUCAGCUAUACCCCUGAGACCAGGCUAAAAAGCCAAGAGGUAAAAUAGUAUGAGAAGCCAAUGUCCAGGGAAAGGCAAUGAGGGCCAAGGAGUUCGGCCUAGGGAUCUGAGCGUGGCUCUCAGUCGUCGACUGGCAGACCAAGGCCCCAGGACUGGACAAGGUGGGCCAGUAGCAGCUAGAGUAGCCUGUAGUCUGUCCAAACACCCUGUGACAUCUCACCGUGUGACCCAUGUGCUGGAACAAAAUUCUGGUAACCCCGACCUGCCUGGGGUUUGGAGCAAGGGCAGCCUGGGGACCUCUGUGUGGUUUUUUACUACUUCCUGAAUUUUUUGAUCUGAUCGAAUUAUCUGAGAUUGGAGAAGACUGUGGAGAUAAAGAGAAUGCUGUGGGAACUCUGUGAGAGAACUCGUUCUCUGUGAGAACACUAGGAGGGGGUAGGAGGCAGCUGCCCUGCAGACCUCCACCUCCUGGGCCAGGUGGAGAAUGCGACUACAAACUCUCCAUCUCCGUGGAGCUGCAAGGGACAAGGGACCAGUGGGUCUCCCAGAUCAAUGUGAGAGGCAGAGCAGAGUCCUGGCAGACAAUUCACCUCACCAUGAGGGAAAAACUUCAACUCCCACAGGAAACACGGCCACCGGUUUCCUGCCGCUGCUGGCAUCUGAGACCUCAAAGGAGCCAAAGGGCCUGGCGCUUCUCCGAGGCAGCUGACCGCCUGGGGGCACGAGAGGACCCAUGGCCACUAGGAAGUCCUCUUGGUCCCUGAAAGCCAGUGCGUGGCUGGCAAGUGCACUCUUCCUGACCCACCUGAGGGUUUAUCCGGCCUCAGCUUUAGAGGAAGAAAGCACCUCCCCCAGUACACACUCCCCUCCCCUCCCCUGGUUUUAGCAGUCAUGGCGCUCUGACUGUCACCCGGUGGAGAGCAUCAGGAAGGAGGGUGUAGGCUGAAGGAGCACCCAAGCACAGUACAGAGUCUAGUGAGGGAAGGGUGGGCAUAAGGGGGCUCAGCGGCUUGUAGGAGCGGAUCUUGGAUCUCACCACGGCCUUGGGGUUCGCAGGGCAGGUCCUCCCGGG